CAUCUCCAAGCAAGCUGUUUCUUUACACCUGCUCUGCCAAACUGUGCCGAGUUCAAAGACUCUUCACCCUCUGGGGGUGUCAGGAUCCUCUUUAGAAUCUGAUAGAAGCUGCCACCCUCUCCCCACCUCCACAAUAUGCAUUGACAAAUCAUUUUCCUCAUGAUUCAGAGGAUUCCUAGAUACCUUGGGACGUUUUCAUGGUUUUCCGAGGAACCCAGAAUGAGAUUCCCCCAUGCCCCUCCCAUCACAGAGUUUCCCCCUGAUUGGCUCAAAGAUUUUAUUGUUUGUCAUCUGUCUCCCCUGAUUGGCUCAAAGAUUUCAUUGUUUAUCACUUGCCUUCCCUCUUGGUGAAAUCAAGGAAAGGGAGAGCUUCUUAUGAAAAGGUCGCAUAUGGCACGUCAUACUACCAGAAUGGUGUUAUCUGUGUGACAAGCUACUGUUAAAUACGUAUACAGAGUGAUGGGUGUGUGUGUGUGUGCGCGCACGCGCGCGUGCACCUACCAUAGGGGCAGUAAAUUAGCAUUUGGAAGAAGCUAAUCAGGAACCCACACUCUGGAAGUGGCUACUGAAGAACCUCAAAUACCCAGAUCUAAAUCUACACCUGGGAGUUCUCGUUGUGGCACAGCGAGUUAAGGACCCAGCAUUUUCUCUGUGAGGAUGCAGGUUCCACCCAUGGCCUUGCUCAAUGGAUUAAGGAUACAGUGUUGCCACACGCUGUGGCGUGGGUCCCAGCUGCAGCUCGGAUCUGGUGUUGCUGUGGCUGUGGUGUAGGCCUCAGCUGCAGCUCCGAUUUGACUCUUAGCCUAGGAACUUCCAUAUGCCACAGGUGUGGCUGUAAAAUGAAAAAACUAAAAACAAAUCUACAUCUUGAUUAGCAUAGGUAUCUUAGAAAUAGUAAGGUAUGUGGUUUGAGAACAAGGACCUGCUGUAUAACACAGGGAACUACAUUCAAUAUCUUGUAAUAAACCAUCAUGGAAAAGAAUCUGCAAAAGAAUAUAUGUAUCUGGAUCACUUUGCCGUACACUUGAAGCUAAUACAAUGUUGUACAUCAAUUAUACUUCAAUUUAAAAAGAAAAAGAUCACAAGCUCUUGGCGCCCUCCGCUCAACACUCUAACCUGGAGUUCCGUUUGGCCUCCGACCAUUUCCCCAUCUUCAGGGGUCCGUGGUGUCUGAUCCCUCCAGAAGCUUGGCUGACCCCGCCGAGAGAGUGGCCCUGCAUCUCCGUCAGAAUGAAGCCUGCAUGCAGAGGACCUGUCAGAGUGCCCGCGGACAGAACGGGCCCUUAGCAAGCCUGCGGGAACAGGGUACUGUCCUUGUCCCUGCUUCCUAAUAAAUGAUCAUCCAGCUGGUCAGAUUCCACCUGAGGUUUGCGUUCGCUUCAACAUACCACCUGGCAGUGGGUAGUAAGGAAGGACAGGUAGAGCCCUAACCAUUUUCCCUGGCACACUUCCCGGGCAGCAAGAUCAGCUCAGGGAUGCCCACCAGCUGUCCAAGUCGGAUGAGAUGUAUUCAGGCAUUAACUCGUGUCGUCCGGACUCAGUUGCCCCCUCUCUCUCCUCCUGGCCCUGGCUUCAUUCUUAGGCUCCCUCCUGAUGGCAAGAUGGUGGCAGCAUCUCCUUAUAUUUACUCGGCUUCUGGUUUGGCAUGGAAAGCAAAGAGGCUAUUUUCCUAAGGACUCUAAAAAAAAGUCCCCAAAAGUGAGUCCGAUGGCUAUUUUGACCUGACUGGCAUCAGGUGACCAUCUCUGAUCCAAUCACUGAUGCUGGGGGGGAAAAAAAGGUUCUGACAGGCCCGGCAUGCGUCAUACGCCACUCUGGGCAGGGGUGUCAGCUCCACCAGCACCCCAUGGCUUGAGAGUAGUUGGGGUGAGUGGUGGGUGAAAGUUGCCCACAACUUCUUUGCCACUCCUCCCGCUGAGAGGCAGAGUUUUUCCCCUCCCCUUGAACCGAGGCCAGCCUUAUGCCUUGUUUUGGCCCCCAAACAUGGUAGAUGUGACACCAUGUAAAGUCAAUGUCCACGUUCAAGGUCAGCGUGGGAGAGCAUUACCAAAGGGCGGGGAAGAAUAUGGGGCUAAUUUUGCAAUCCAUCCAUCACAGACGGAGAUCGCCGCCCAGCCUAGGGGAGGAGCGUCUCCUGGCCCCAUCUUCUCGGGGCCACACAUCCGAGCGAGCUGUGAGCUUAUGGAGAACAGGGCUGUGUCAUCGGCCUUAGGUGCCCAGCCACAGAUCUGAGAACCAGGCAGGAGCAAAGAAGAGUGUGGCUGCCAUGUGGAGAAGCUCAUGCAAGGGAGAAUCUUGGCCAAUACGCUCCGCCGGUCUCCCAGCCAGCACCCAGCACUACUGCCAGCUGCGUGGGUGAGCCGUCUAGGACAGUCCAGACGGCUGGGCCUCCAGACACUACAAGGAGCAGAAGAACCGCCCGGCGGAGCCUAGUCAGCACCCAGAACCGUGAGAAAUAACGGUCCUUGUUUGAAGUCAUGGAGUUUGGGGAGAGUUCGUUACAGAGCCACGGGGAGCUGACACAGAGCGUCUCCCCAGGUGAAAACCCGAAGGUUUUCCUGGAAAUUAAAUGAGUGGAUGCUAGACGGACAAUGCAGAGGAACCCACCACAGCCAUCUACUCUGUGUAGUCGACUUUGCCAGGCCACCGAUGGGCUCGAGAAGACGUGGAAUUUUCUGUGGCAGCAUUCCAGUGUCCACUCACAUUUUGUCCGUGUCCAGAGACAGUUGCUGCCGCAGCUGAGGCAGCAUCCUGAUUUCAAGCUCACAGCUCCAGCCAUGAGUUUUUAGACACAGCUGCUCUAUUGGUGGCUCCUGGCCUUCCCACAUGUGGCAAAGAAGGUGGCUCCCCAGCAAGUCAGGAUUGCAGGAUUCUGGGCGUCAUUCCUGGAGAUCCAGCCUAGAGUUUCCACAACGGCCCUCCUGUAAUGGGUUGGAUGGUAGCCUCCCAAAAGCUAUGUCCAUGUCCCAUUGCCUGGAACCUGUACGUGGGACCUUAUUUGGCAAAAAGAGGUUUUACAGAUGGAAUUAGGUUAAGGAUCUGGAGAUGAGAUUAUCCUGGAUGACCUUGGUAGGCCCUAAAUCCAAUGAUAGAUGCCCUUAGACAGAUGAGGAGAAAACAGAGAUCGGAGGACCAGGGCAAGACAGAGGCAGGGACAGGAGCAAUGCAGCGACAAAGCAUGCUGACAGCCGCCGGAAGCUGGAAGAGGUAGAGGAUUCUCCUGAGGGAGCGUGGCCCGACCUUGACUUCAGACUUCUGGCUUCCAGAACAGUGAGAGGAUUCACUCCUGUUGUGGUAAGCCAGCCAGUUCGUGGUCAUUUUGUUACAGUGGCUUCAGGGAACAACUGCCCCUUCCAGUGAUUCUGUAAGCACCAGCUUCCCUGUAUUAAAUCCCUUUCUGCUUAAAAUACCUGGAGCAGUCUCCAUUCCUUGCACUGGACCCUGAGUGGUACGAUGCGUUUCCCAUCCUGGCCAGGAAGACCAAGGAAGCCGGAAGGCAUAUUGGUGAGUAGAACCCAAGGACGUUUUUAGGUUUGAAGCUCAUAAAACGGUACCAUCCGUGGUUCCGCCGUCAGCCUCACAGGCAGGUGGGUUUCCACCAGUUCGGCAGAAGCACUGACGCCUGAUAGUCAUCUUCUGAUUGCCAGCAUGGCAGCAAGAGUUUGCUUUAAAUUUUUCAGCAGCCAGCACCCUCGGCUCACCUCUGCCAAGAGCCCACGACCUCGGCAGUCAGGGAACACAGAGCCAGAUGGGGCCCAGCAGUGCCCGCCUCUCUGUCCUUUAUCCUACAGAGUCCAAAAAGAGCUGGAAGGCACCAGAAUAGGAUGGAGAACCUUUAUCCCAAUGCCGGGAAGAGGUUCUGUCCACACUGUCUUCCUAAGGAGCAGGAAAUCUGCUUGCUCUGCUUUUUUCCUCCAAACUGAAAUUCUCCAUUUUCAUCAAGAUGUGUGUACGUGUCUGAAUCUGUUUCUGCGUGUGUGUGUGUGUGUGUGUGUGUGUGUGUGUGUGUGUGUGUGCAUUUCUGUGAGUUUGUGUUUGGGUGUAUGUGUAUUUUGAGUGUGUGUGUGUUUGUACGUAUUUAUGUGUGCGCGCCUAUUUAUAUGCGUGGGGAGAGGGCGAGUCGGGAGAAGGGCAGUGCCUGUGGUGACGGUUAAUACCGUGAACUUGAGCUAUUGUUUUCAUAAAUAGGACGCUGGAGAAGGUCCCUCGCUGCUCCUCGCCACCGCGCUGUUGAAAUGACAUGGCUAUGGAGGAAUCCUUUCGUUCUGCAAGCGUAACCACAGGAAUCAGGAUGAGCGAAUUCCGCUCCCUGGAAACCCCGGGUGGCAUCUGCUUUGUCCGUAGAGCUCCUAAGCCAGAGUACCAUAGCCUUUCAUGGCCUUCGUGUUGGGGAUCGAAAUAAAGCCCACGGAAUUCUCUGCUGGGAAAGGUGACGUCGCCAAAAUGCUGCUCAAUCCCAUUCCCUGUGGUGCCCGUGUGGAUGGGUAUUAAGCAUGCAUGUUGCACCUGGAGCCGUUCUGGCCACCAGCUUGACCCUUCUGUCUGUCAGUCCUGGCAGGAGUUUCUGUUGUGGCUCAGUGGGCUAGGAACCUGACUAGUAUCCACAAGGAUGUGGGAUUGAUCCCUGGCCUUGCUCAGUGGGUUAAGGAUCCAACAUUGCCAUGAGCCGUGGGAUAGGCCACAGAUGCAGCUUGGAUCUUGUGUUGCAGUGGCUGUGGUGUAGGCCAGUGGCUACAACUCCGAUUCGACCCUUAGCCUGGGAACUUUCAUGUGCUGCUGAUGCAGCCCUAAAAAGCAAAGAAAAGCAAAAACAAAAACACUGGCCAGGGCAGGGACAGGAGGCCCCGAAGCUGCUGGUGGCUCAGGCCAGCUGUGUCCCUCCUACCUUGGGCCCAGGUCUUUGGAAACGGGUCUUCCUGGCCAAGGCCCCCACCUGGGACAUGGGCUCCUGAAGGGCCUUCUGCUUCCGUGCUGCCUGCCUCAUCCCCUCACCACUACCGAAAGGACCAGAGGGCCACCAUGGUUUCAGCAUGCCUGCAGAAUCCUGACUUUGAAUCCCUCUCCUGGGGUGCGGGGCCCUGCUGCCAGCCACCCUUCUGCAUCCCCAGUGGUACAAUCCUCCAUCAGCCAGGCCACGCCGGGCCCCUGGCAUCUGCCCAGUUGGCUGUCCUAGCAUCUGCCACCGUGGCUGCUGAGGCUGAAGUGCCUGGAGCUUGGGGCCUGGCCACGCUCACCGUCCCAUCUGGAUGCCCCCCCCCCCCAGCCCUGGUUCCGACAGCUGCUUUGGCACCAGGCCCCUAUCAAACUUCAGCCUUCAGACCUCUUCAAGGCCCGGCCCACAGUCCAAGGUGCUCCCAGAAGGGUAGUGUUGCCUAGAAACCAUUGCCACCACGCUCCGAGCAUCGCCCAGGGCUAGGUAAGUGCCAUGACCCUGGGGCUCAGCCAGGUGAUGCAGCAAAGCCAGCGUUUGCACAUGGGUUCGGAGGAACAAAAGGCAAGAACAGGAGCUGAGGGGCGGGAGGGGCCCGGCCGGGGCAANCCCCGCCCCCGUCCCGUCCCGAAGACCCCCGGCCUCUCGCGAGAGGUGAUAACUAGUGGUGGUGCCGUCCGUUUUUGAGCGCUCAGUGUGUGCAAGGUGCUAGAAGAGCAUCUUCACACCAGACUUCACAGCCGCAUGGCUUGCCUGGGAAGGCCACAGCGGCUGGAGCUCUGCGAUGGCUUUCUCAGACCUGCUGGCCAGGCUCCCCCGCUUGAGGCUGGAUGAGUCUGGAGCGUGGUGACAAGCACAACCGAUUCCGUCCCUCCUCCCCACCUCGGCUCUGUCUCCGCUCGGGGGCCCCCUGGGCUCCAGCCCCUGCUUCCCUCCCUCCUUGAUGCUCAGAGCAUGAUGAUCGCCACCAGGGCCAGGGCUCCAGCAGCCUCUGUGCCAAUUCCUCUGCCAUGCAUCACGAGGGCUCUCUUGGAUGUCUGCGGCAAGAAACAAAUGUUUCCCCCCCUUUAGUAAAUCAUGUGAAACCUCACACACUGGGACAGCUGGUUAGAACACAAGCUACGACUCUCCUCCAAGGUGAGGACAUCGAAGGCACAAAAUGUAUGCAGAGCUGUGCACGGGCAGUGCUCAACCUGCCAGCUCAGCACAUCCUGGCUCCCCUCCCCGCGCCCCUCUACCUUGGGCUCCAAGCCAGCCGGGCCCGUGUCUCCCUCCCCAGCCCUUGAGGAAACAAGGUCGUCUUUCUGGCUGGUUACCUGGACACAAGGCAGGCUUGGCAGACACAGCUCCGUCAGGUGCCUCCCCGGUAUCUCAGCCUGAUGGGCCUCUCCUCUCUGAUUCUUGAGACCAGAAAUCUCACCAGCACAGCUCCUGCAUCAGAGUGGGGAAGACGAGGACAAUGGUGUAUAAAGCGAUGUUGGACUGUAGUCCAAUCGUGCUAUUGGACUCUUGUGUAGUCUCUGCUCUUCAGGAUGCUCCUUCUUCUCUGUGUCUUUAAGCUCCUAGACCCAGGCUCCCAACCUUUGAAACCGGCUCUUCGGAAUGCAUUUCAUGUGAGUCAUUUACACCUUAGUAUGAAUUUAAUAAUAAGUCUCUUAGGACGAUUUGCAUUCAAAUCUUUCUGGAUGGAAGCCACUCUGCAAUGAGAAAUUUGUCGCUAUUAACAGGGUUUUGACUCAAAAAUCUCAUAAGGCAGAGAGGCAUGGGGUGGAAGGGGGUAUGUUGGUUCUGCAGAUUGGGAAUCCUACAGCUUCAUCCAUCUGUCCUGUUUCCAAACUGUCUAGCCUACGUCAACUCCUUCCUUCCAUACUCGCUUACUCUCUCCAAGCUUAAAUUGAUCCUGGGGUUUGAGAGGUUUCGUUGACUCACUUUUGUGACUCAUGUAAGAAUCAUCAGAUUUCAGGUCUGGUGGGACCUUGAAGGUCAAAUAAUGCAAGUUUCUAAGAUGCUGUAACAAACUCAGAGAGAGGGAGAAGUGAGAUACCCAAGAUCCCGCAGCAAGUUAACAGCAAUGCGGGGACCAGACCCGGGAUCUCCUGGCUCCUAGCGAUGUCCUUUGCACCGAGACCCAGAAAUCAUGCUCAACCAAACACCGGCACUGUUUGCAAAGUGAAGUCCAGGCAGCAGGAGCUUUCUGUUUUGCCGAACCACAGAGCCUGGGCCAGGUCUGGCCCUUCCAGGGUUAAUGGCACAGGCAGGCUUUGUGUGGCCUGGGAAGAAUGUUCCUAGAAGCAUUUGGUCAAGGAGGCAUGGGGAGUUCUUAUGGCCACGGGGUCUCUGCAAGGUUUAGAGGCUGGAAAGAUCUGAGCAGAACUUGCUGUUUUCACCAUCCAGACAGACACCUGUCCUGAAUGUUGCAACAGGGCGGCUUUAGUUUUGUUGUCUAAGCAGCCCGGAGCCUCUCAUGCAUCUGAAGCAGAGGCAGCCUUUCUAGUUACUUCUUCCUCACCAGCCCACACAAGGCCCCCUCAUCUAUUGAGAUCAGCCUUGGCCUAAAUUUGCUCAGAAUUGAUCCCAGAAGUACAGGCUAAAGGCAGAGGGCCAGAGUCAGUCUGUGGUCUAGCAGAUCCACAGACGCUGGAAACAAACUACCUGGCUUCAAAUCUCCCCUCUGCCCCCUCCCAGCUCCGUGUCUUCGGGCUGUUUGCUUAACCUCUCCUGCCUCAGAAUCCUCCCUUGUCAGGUGGGGACCAUUCUGGCCCCCGGCUCCCGGGUUGCCGUGAGAGUUCCACGGAGUCAAUGCACGGAAAACCCUUAGAACUUAAACACUUAGAAAUGAUGCCUGCGCGUUGUGAGUGCUCACUUAAAAUUACCUGUAAUGUCUUUGGUGCCUCCUCUUAGAACCUCCCAGAUGUCUCUUCGCCUUUCCCCCUGAAACCAGGCACUCUCAGCUUUGGUUUAAAAGGUACAUUAAGGGAGCUCCUGUUGUGGCUCAGCAGCAGUGAACCUGGCUGGUAUCCAUGAGGAUGUGGGUUCGAUUCCUGGCCUCGCUCAGUGGGUUAAGGCUCCGACAUUGCCAUGAGCUGUGGUGUAGGUCGCAGAGGUGGCUCAGAUCUGGUGUUGCCGUGGUUGUGGUGCAGGCUGGCAGCUGCAGCUCCAAUUCAAUCCCUAGCCUGGGAACUUCAUAUGACACACGUGUGGCCCUAAAAAGCUAAAUAAUGUUAAGGAGUUCCCUGGUGGCCUAGCAGUUAAGGAUCUGGCACUGUCAUUGCUAUGGUUCGGGUUUGAUCAUUGUCACUGCUGUGGCGUGGGUUUGAUCCCUGGCCUGGGAACUCUCUCGUGCUGCAAAUACAGCCAAAAAAAAAAAAGGUACGUUAUAAAGGGGCCUCUGUGUGGAGUUCUCAUUGUGGUUCGUGGGUUAAGAAUCCGUCAUAGUGUCUGUGGCCUCACUCAGUGAUUAAGGAUCUGGCGUGGCUGUAGCUGUGGUGUAGUCUAGCGGCUGUAGCUCCGAUUCCACUCCGAGCCUGGGAACCUCCACAUGCUGCAGGUGUGGC
This 8484-nucleotide long non-coding RNA is filed under the name Sus scrofa (pig). Its description in RNAcentral is "lncRNA (ENSSSCG00040004001.1)". The record is from RNAcentral. Lineage: Eukaryota; Metazoa; Chordata; Mammalia; Artiodactyla; Suidae.